Molecule: ribosomal RNA, 429 nt
Filed under: Acidobacteriota bacterium
Lineage: Bacteria; Pseudomonadati; Acidobacteriota
Description: Acidobacteria bacterium partial 16S ribosomal RNA
Rfam family: Bacterial small subunit ribosomal RNA
Source: RNAcentral
UGGGGAAUUUUUGACAAUGGGGGAAACCCUGAUCCAGCCAUCCCGCGUGUGCGAUGAAGGCCUUCGGGUUGUAAAGCACUUUUGGCAGGAAAGAAACGUCAUGGGUUAAUACCCCGUGAAACUGACGGUACCUGCAGAAUAAGCACCGGCUAACUACGUGCCACCAGCCGCGUUAAUACGUAGGGUGCAAGCGUUAAUCGGAAUUACUGGGCGUAAAGCGUGCGCAGGCGGUUCGGAAAGAAAGAUGUGAAAUCCCAGAGCUCAACUUGGGAACUGCAUUUUUAACUACCGGGCUAGAGUGUGUCAGAGGGAGGUGGAAUUCCGCGUGUAGCAGUGAAAUGCGUAGAUAUGCGGAGGAACACAGAUGGCGAAGGCAGCCUCCGGGGAUAACACUGACGCUCAUGCACGAAAGCGUGGGGAGAAAACAGG